UUGUAAAGGACCACUUUAGAAUUUUAAAGUUUUGGGUUAUUGGUAAAUAUUUGUAAAUGUUUGCAAUUUAUUUAAAUAAUUCUUAUUUAAAUAAUGAUAUUUGUAUGCGCUUCGAUGUUAUUUGUAUGUGAUUGACCGGAAAUUCUGUGCACCUGUAAUGUUGAAAUUUGUCCCUUUGGUGGCACCGUAGUUUGCACAAGGGAAGAUGAACCUUCAAGGUGGCUGUCGGGUGCGAAUGAUACGUAGCAUUGUUUGAGCUUAUAUGGAUUUUAUCUGAGAUUGUGUUUAUACAUGAACUUAAACAACUUGACGCCCGUUUUAUGACGGAAGAAAGGAUUAUCCUAUAUUGUUUUGCAUUCCUUGGUGAGCGCAGCGAGCCAGUGGUUACACAGAAAUGGACGAUCACUCAUGUGGAUUUUCCUCUCUCUUUUGAGACGACCAAACCAGAUCCAGUUUCAAUGCGUCCAUUCACUCACUGAUGAUGAUGAGGAUGAUGAAGAAAAGCAGCGUGAAGGGCCAAGAAAUAAAACGAUGCUGGAAACUCACAUUAUUAAAAAGAUCACAUUAAAAGAAUGAUUACACAACGAUUUUGUUCUUUUUCAACAUUUCCAUGCAUGCCUUUAAAGUUUCACUCUUUAGAUCAGGUUUAGAUCGAGUGAAAUGUAACACUAAUAAUAAAGAGAAUAAACAAUAAAUUAAAUUAUUAAUAAUAAUAACAACUAUGUGGCAAUAAAAAUAUAGAGGAAAAAAAUACGAAAAUACAAAAUUAUGACUGUGCAGAUGUGUUACACUGGCGCGACGAAGGGUGUUCCAAAUUUAAGUGUGUGGACUCCGAAGACCGCAUUUGAAGUGCGAAUGCGUCAACGCGGCGCGACGAAGGCUGACAAAUUUCGAAAGCAACUUCAAAUGCGCCCUUCAUUUCCCAUGAAAAUGAAGUGUACAUCUUAUGGACACUUCGCACCCUACCAUAUCCCAGAAUCACUUGCGUGCAUAUGACGAAGGUGUUUAUAUUCAGAGGCAGACGAGAGUUCUGUGGAGGAGACUGUAACGUUAUUAUCCAGUGAGUGAGGAUUGGCUGCGCUGUGUGCGAGAGGAGCGCGUGCUGGUUCCGAGCGGUUGUGGACGAUCGACUGUGGAUGGCGAGGCGAUUGGCUCCCAAGGCGGUUGGCAACAACUGGACUGUGAAUGGACAGGAGUAUGCAGAAGGAAGUGACGGUUCAGGAAAUGAAUUAGGAGAGAUGGAAGUAGGUAGCGGGAGUCAGGGGAUCAACUGUAGAAGAAACGAAGAGAGAGGAAUAUAAAGUGUUUGCAAAGCUUAUGCAUGAAGGAGACUCGUUUGAAGGUAUAAAUCCAAUACAGUUGACAAAAACGCCAAAUAAGGAAAUUGGUGAAAUAAAGAGUGCUAAAAUAUUAAGAAAUGGAUCAUUGUUCAUUAUUUGUAAAGAUGCAAAACAGCAAGGGAAAGUAAUCAGAAUGAACAAGAUAAAUGGAAAGAGAGUGGAGUGUUCUAUGGCUAAUGGCAAGAAAUUCGUAAAAGGGGUUGUCACAGGAAUUCCGGUAAACAUAUCGGUAGAAGAUGUGAAAGAAAAUAUAACAAAUGCAAAAGUAAGUGAAGUCAGACGUCUAAAAACAAGUAGGAACGGAAGUGUAAGUGAUAGCACCUCGGUUGUAAUCACUUUUGAUGAGGAAACUCUCCCUGGAAAGAUAUAUAUUGGAUACAUGUGUUACAAUGUGAGGCUAUACAUACCUCCUCCCAGGGGCGUAGCAACCGGGGGGGACGGGGGGGACGGGGGGGACACGUCCCCCGCACUUUUAGAAACAGGUGAUUCUGACCUCUGCUAAUUUUUAGGAUCCAGCGUUCCAGGAUUCCAUUAAACAAAAGAUCAUUCACCUUUAUUUAUAUAGUGCUUUUAAUAAUACAGAUUGUAUCAAAGCACUGAAUAGUAUCAAAUAGGAGAAUAGAGCAAUUU
Molecule: long non-coding RNA, 1970 nt
Organism: Cyprinus carpio carpio
Lineage: Eukaryota; Metazoa; Chordata; Actinopteri; Cypriniformes; Cyprinidae
Source: Ensembl